This 301-nucleotide ribosomal RNA is filed under the name uncultured bacterium. RNAcentral describes it as "partial 16S ribosomal RNA". It matches the Rfam family "Bacterial small subunit ribosomal RNA", at positions 509 to 807 of the family's 1533-position model. The record is from RNAcentral.
CAGUCGCCGCGGGAAUACGUAGGCAGCGAGCGUUGUUCGGAAUUACUGGGCGUAAAGAGUGUGUAGGCGGUGCUCUAAGUUCGGUGUGAAAUCUCCCGGCUUAACUGGGAGGGUGCGCCGGAAACUGGAAUGCUCGAGCGUGGGAGAGGAAAGCGGGAUUCCUGGUGUAGCGGUGAAAUGCGUAGAUAUCAGGAGGAACACCUGUGGUGUAGACGGCUUUCUGGACCAUAGCUGACGCUGAGACACGAAAGCGUGGGUAGCAAACAGGAUUAGAUACCCCCGUAGUCCCUGUCUCUUAUAC